GCUACGGGGGGCAGCAGUAGGGAAUAUUGCUCAAUGGGGGAAACCCUGAAGCAGCAACGCCGCGUGGAGGAUGAAGGUUUUCGGAUUGUAAACUCCUUUUGUUAGAGAAGAGAAUGACGGUAUCUAACGAAUAGCACCGGCUAACUCCGUGCCAGCAGCCGAGGUAAUACGGAGGGUGCAAGCGUUACUCGGAAUCACUGGGCGGAAAGAGCGCGUAGGCGGGAUAGCAAGUCAGAUGUGAAAUCCUCUGGCUUCACCAUAGAACUGCAUUUGAAACGGUUAUUCUAGAGUAUGGGAGAGGUAGGUGGCCUUCUUGGUGUAGGCGUCAAAUCCGUAGAGAUCACGAGGAAUACUCAUUGCGAAGGCGACCUGCUAGACCAUACCUGCCGCUGAUGCGCGACAGCGUGGGGAGCAAACAGGAUUAGCUACCCGGGUAGUC
Molecule: ribosomal RNA, 439 nt
Filed under: uncultured bacterium
Lineage: Bacteria
Description: partial 16S ribosomal RNA
Rfam family: Bacterial small subunit ribosomal RNA
Source: RNAcentral